Molecule: unclassified non-coding RNA, 315 nt
Filed under: plant metagenome
Description: partial contains 5.8S ribosomal RNA, internal transcribed spacer 2, and large subunit ribosomal RNA
Rfam family: 5.8S ribosomal RNA (bases 1-105)
Source: RNAcentral
GAACUGCGAUAAGUAAUGUGAUUUGCAGAAUUCAGUGAAUCAUCGAGUCUUUGAACGCACAUUGCGCCCCCUGGCAUUCCGGGGGGCAUGCCUGUCCGAGCGUCAUUGCUGCCCUUCAAGCCCGGCUUGUGUGUUGGGUCGUCGUCCCCUCCGGGGGACGGGCCCGAAAGGCAGCGGCGGCACCGCGUCCGGUCCUCGAGCGUAUGGGGCUUUGUCACCCGCUCGAUAAGGACCGGCCGGGCGCCAGCCGGCGUCUCCAACCUUUUUUUCUCAGGUUGACCUCGGAUCAGGUAGGGAUACCCGCUGAACUUAAGC